GAUGAUAUAUUCUGAAGUUGGUAUUUGUUUUUUGGUAAUAUCUUCUGGAAUCAGAAAUUUUGGAGACGAGUAACAUUCCGAUAUCAUUUUUGUAUCACAGCUCCAACUCAAGUCUUUUUAAGGGAAAUAAAUUCAUGUUUAUUCUUUCCAGUGGAUUUGAGGACUCGUUCAGUUAUUGAAAAAACACAAACAUAUAUAUACUG
This 203-nucleotide unclassified non-coding RNA is filed under the name Hevea brasiliensis (rubber tree). Lineage: Eukaryota; Viridiplantae; Streptophyta; Magnoliopsida; Malpighiales; Euphorbiaceae. The record is from RNAcentral.